RNAcentral lists this ribosomal RNA (553 nucleotides) under uncultured archaeon. Its description in RNAcentral is "bacterial SSU rRNA". It matches the Rfam family "Archaeal small subunit ribosomal RNA", at positions 324 to 879 of the family's 1478-position model. The record is from RNAcentral.
UACGGGGUGCAGCAGGCGCGAAAACUUUGCAAUACACGAAAGUGUGACAGGGUCAUCCCGAGUGCCGACCGCUGAGGUUGGCUUUUACCCAGUCUAGAAAGCUGGGGGAAUAAGGAGAGGGCAAGUCUGGUGUCAGCCGCCGCGGUAAUACCAGCUCUCCGAGUGGUGUGGACGUUUAUUGGGCCUAAAGCAUCCGUAGCUGGCUGAACAAGUCCCCUGUUAAACCCACCGAUUUAAUCGUUGGCGUGCGGGGGAUACUGCUCGGCUAGGGGACGAGAGAGGCAGACGGUAUUCCCGGGGUAGGGGUGAAAUCCUAUAAUCCCGAGAAGACCACCAGUGGCGAAGGCUGUCUGCUAGAACGCGCCCGACGGUGAGGGAUGAAAGCUGGGGGAGCGAACCGGAUUAGAUACCCGGGUAGUCCCAGCUGUAAACGAUGCAGACUAGGUGUUUGGACGGCCACGUGCCGUUCUAGUGCCGCAGGGAAGCUGUUAAGUCUGCCGCCUGGGGAGUACGAUCGCAAGAUUGAAACUUAAAGGAAUUGGCGGGGGAGCAC